This is a long non-coding RNA of Octopus bimaculoides (California two-spot octopus), 2580 nucleotides long. RefSeq lists it as uncharacterized. The record is from RefSeq and is a predicted model, not a curated record. NCBI's taxonomy places the organism in Eukaryota, Metazoa, Mollusca, Cephalopoda, Octopoda, Octopodidae.
CACGUUGACAGUUGGAAGGGAAACGACUCGCGCGUGAGAUAACCAUGUCUUAUCUGUGUCAGUUAGUCAGGUCGUUUAUGACAUAAAGGCGUUAACGAUAAUGGUAGCAGGAGCGAUGGUGUCGGUGUUAUUAUUGGUGGUGGUAGUUGUGUAAUGUCAGCCGUGGUGACGAUGGUGGUGGUUGCGGUGGUUAGUAUCUGACGUUUGUACAGGAACAAGCAAAGUGAAGGGAAACUAGAGCAACAGUCAAAACCAGCCACAUCAGAGGAAGAGUUAAAGUGAAAGAGUGACUAAAAGUUUGAAAGAGAAUGAUAAAGGCACAGAGAGAAUGUUAGAGAGGGAAAGAAAAAGGAAGAGAGUUAGAGACAGAAAGAGGGUGAGGAGUUGAGUCAAAGGGGGAAUUAGAGAAAUAGUGAAGGUGAAAAAGGGUGGGAAAUGAUUAGAUAACGACAAAAAUAGCUUGGAUUUCAUACACAUUUAAAUGAAAGCGCACGUAUUUCAUUAAAGAGACUCGAAAACAAUGGAUUUGUUCGGUUUGACGGAGUACGUUACGACCUUCGUGCUAGGAGCAGUACUUCUUUUAGCUCUUUACCUAUAUGGAAGAAGACCAUACUUAUAUUUCAAAGAACUUGGUAUUCCCGGUCCCAAACCUACUUGUUUUUUGGGAAACUCACAUGAAAUAGGAAAGCGGGCACAAUCCACAUAUCAUAACGAACUGACAAAAUUAAAUAGGAGAAGAAACGAGAAAAAGCUGAGAAGGCAGUAUAUAGAAAAAGAAGAAGGUUAAAAAAAUGGAAAAUCAAUAAUGGAAAACGAAAAGGUAAAAGCUAAAAUGUUAAAAGUAAAAUGUAGAAAAGGUUAAAGAGUUAUCUUCCUUAGACCUUAACCGGAAAGAUAUCGACAAGUUAAUCAGGUGUCGGUGGACUUUUCCAAUUCCUCUGCAGGAGUGGCUGUGUGGUAAGUAGCUUGCUUACCAACCACAUGGUUCCGGGUCAGUCCAAUUGCGUGGCACCUUGGGCAAGUGUCAUCUACUAUAGCCUCGGGCCGACCAAAAGCCUUGUGAGUGGAUAUUUGGUAGACGGAAACUGAAAGAAGCCCGUCGUAUAUAUAUAUAUAUAUAUAUAUACUUGUGUGUGUGUGUGUGUGUGUGUGUGUGUGUGUGUGUGUGUGUGUGUGUGUUUGUCAUCCAAUCAUCACUUGACAACCAAUGGCAGUGUGUCUACCUUACUGUAACUUAGCGGUUCGGCAAAAGAGACCUAUGGAAUAAGUGCUAGGUUUACAAAGAAUAAUUCCUGGGGUCGAUUUGCUCCACUAAAGGCGGUGCUCCAGCAGGGCCGCAGUCAUGAUUGAAACAAAUAAAAGAAUACAUUUGAUUGCAACCGCUGAAUGUUUCAGACCUAGAGUUCAGUAGAGAGUUAGAGAACUUAGAUCUGAACAGGAUCUAAGCUCUUUCGGCUGAACAUAGCCUACAUAUAGUCGAUCCAUUAACAUAAGAUAUGGAUUUCUCAAUUAUUUUCCACUUAAUCACAUGUAGUGUUUCGUUAUCUUUCAAACCCCAUAAAUACCAAACCAACUUCGUAGCUUUGCUUUUGUCCUUAUAUCGGAAGGAGGCUAUGUGACUGGCAUAACGAUUUUUAAAUUCUCCUUCACACGAACCAAUAUAGGUCAUCUUACCUGUUGCAGUGUGUACCUAUUCUGUCGGUCUCCUUCGUCGAGCCGCUAAUUUACGGACACGCAAAACAUACCAAAACCGGUUGUCAAGCAGUGGUGGGGGAAGAACUGACACAAAGAUACACGUACGCAUAUAUAUAUAUAUAUAUAUAUAUAUAUAUAUAUAUAUAGAGAGAGAGAGAGAGAGAGAGAGAGAGAGAGAGAGACACACACACACACAUAUACGACGGGCUUCUUUCAGUUUCUGUUUUCCAAAUCCACUCACAAGGCUUUGGUUGGCCCGCGGCUAUAGUACGAGGCACUUGCCCAAGAUGCCAUGCUGUGGGACUGAACCCGAAGUCCAUGUGAUAGAGAAGUAAGCUUCUUACUACACAGCCACACCUGUGUGUGUAUACACACGCACAUGCAAGCACGCUCAAACACACUCACACACAUACACAUACACACACACUUUAUUAGCUUACAGAUAUUUCUGCUAUGCGAUGCAAUGCACUCAGUUGCCUACUUGUCGCAAGAUUGCGCUUACAAUUCCUAAACCAUUGCGUUGCGUUCUUGAGCAAGACACUUCAUCUCGAGUCGCUCUGUGAUCAUUUUGACACUUGACGUAUAGUACACCGUUCACCGACAUAUAUAUAUAUAUAUAUAUAGUGUAUGCAUAUAUAUGUACAUGUAUGUAUAUACGUUCAUCCACAUGUACAUAUAGAUACAUAACUGGGUACAUGACGUGGCAAAAGAACAAGGAGAGUUCGAGACAUACACACUUCACGUCUGGCUGUACAGCCCUUUUGUUUGUUUAUUUCACCGUUUCGUUUUCCUGUCUUGUUUUCAGUCCGCCACUACCCUCCACGAAAACAAUUUAAUUUCUGUUCGUGGGAAGAACCAUUUUAACGAUGCGUACUGCCUUAAUUC